This 429-nucleotide ribosomal RNA is filed under the name Bacteroidota bacterium. RNAcentral describes it as "Bacteroidetes bacterium partial 16S ribosomal RNA". It matches the Rfam family "Bacterial small subunit ribosomal RNA", at positions 355 to 776 of the family's 1533-position model. The record is from RNAcentral. Lineage: Bacteria; Pseudomonadati; Bacteroidota.
UAGGGAAUCUUCCGCAAUGGACGCAAGUCUGACGGAGCAACGCCGCGUGAGUGAAGAAGGAUUUCGGUUCGUAAAACUCUGUUGUUAGAGAAGAACAGCGCAUAGAGUAACUGUUAUGCGUGUGACGGUAUCUAAUCAGAAAGCCACGGCUAACUACGUGCCAGCAGCCGCGGUAAUACGUAGGUGGCAAGCGUUGUCCGGAUUUAUUGGGCGUAAAGCGAGCGCAGGCGGUCAAUUAAGUCUGAUGUGAAAGCCCCCGGCUCAACCGGGGAGGGUCAUUGGAAACUGGUUGACUUGAGUGCAGAAGAGGAGAGUGGAAGUCCAUGUGUAGCGGUGAAAUGCGUAGAUAUAUGGAGGAACACCAGUGGCGAAGGCGACUCUCUGGUCUGUAACUGACGCUGAGGCUCGAAAGCGUGGGUAGCAAACAGG